AGCCAUUACGUGCGAGAUCACUAUAUUUUCUCGUAACAUAUAUAUUACGACGUUUUGUACCUACCUUUGAGCUUUGUGAAAACUUUUCACAUAUUUCCUGGGGUUCUAUAUCUGCUCGAGUUUGUUCGUUUUUAUAUUCGCUUUUGUACGGCGAUGGACGGUUUUAAAUUACUCGAAACAUCUGAGUUAUCUUCUGCAGCAUACCAACCGAAUGAUAUACUUAACA
This is a non-coding RNA of Cinara cedri, 226 nucleotides long. NCBI's taxonomy places the organism in Eukaryota, Metazoa, Arthropoda, Insecta, Hemiptera, Aphididae. The record is from the annotation of a GenBank genome assembly.